GAAAAUUUUUAAGGGUCACUGCUAAUGACCCAGGGAGCUUUAUAAGCUCAGUUUUCU
RNAcentral lists this transfer RNA (57 nucleotides) under Euryhaliotrema johni. Its description in RNAcentral is "tRNA-Ser". Lineage: Eukaryota; Metazoa; Platyhelminthes; Monogenea; Dactylogyridea; Ancyrocephalidae. The record is from RNAcentral.